Molecule: ribosomal RNA, 243 nt
Filed under: uncultured bacterium
Lineage: Bacteria
Description: partial 16S ribosomal RNA
Rfam family: Bacterial small subunit ribosomal RNA
Source: RNAcentral
GCAAGCGUUGUCCGGAAUCAUUGGGCGUAAAGAGCGUGUAGGCGGCCCGAUAAGUCCGCUGUGAAAGUCCAGGGCUCAACCCUGGGAUGCCGGUGGAUACUGUCGGGCUCGAGUCCGGAAGAGGAGUGUGGAAUUCCUGGUGUAGCGGUGAAAUGCGCAGAUAUCAGGAGGAACACCAAUGGCGAAGGCAGCACUCUGGGACGUGACUGACGCUGAGACGCGAAAGCGUGGGGAGCAAACAGG